CCUACGGGUGGCAGCAGUGGGGAAUAUUGCACAAUGGGCGCAAGCCUGAUGCAGCCACGCCGCGUGUGUGAAGAAGGCCUUCGGGUUGUAAAGCACUUUCAGCGGGGAGGAAGGCGGUGAGGUUAAUAACCUCAUCGAUUGACGUUACCCGCAGAAGAAGCACCGGCUAACUCCGUGCCAGCAGCCGCGGUAAUACGGAGGGUGCAAGCGUUAAUCGGAAUUACUGGGCGUAAAGCGCACGCAGGCGGUCUGUCAAGUCGGAUGUGAAAUCCCCGGGCUCAACCUGGGAACUGCAUUCGAAACUGGCAGGCUAGAGUCUUGUAGAGGGGGGUAGAAUUCCAGGUGUAGCGGUGAAAUGCGUAGAGAUCUGGAGGAAUACCGGUGGCGAAGGCGGCCCCCUGGACAAAGACUGACGCUCAGGUGCGAAAGCGUGGGGAGCAAACAGGAUUAGAUACCCUUGUAGUC
This 465-nucleotide ribosomal RNA is filed under the name uncultured Klebsiella sp. RNAcentral's name for it is "bacterial SSU rRNA". It matches the Rfam family "Bacterial small subunit ribosomal RNA", at positions 338 to 795 of the family's 1533-position model. Lineage: Bacteria; Pseudomonadati; Pseudomonadota; Gammaproteobacteria; Enterobacterales; Enterobacteriaceae. The record is from RNAcentral.